Molecule: unclassified non-coding RNA, 346 nt
Filed under: soil metagenome
Description: partial contains 5.8S ribosomal RNA, internal transcribed spacer 2, and large subunit ribosomal RNA
Rfam family: 5.8S ribosomal RNA (bases 1-120)
Source: RNAcentral
GAUGAAGAACGUAGCGAAAUGCGAUAAGUAAUGUGAAUUGCAGAAUUCAGUGAACCAUCGAAUCUUUGAACGCACAUUGCGCCCGCUGGUAUUCCGGCGGGCAUGCCUGUUCGAGCGUCAUUUCAACCCUCAAGCCCCCGGGUUUGGUGUUGGGGAUCGGCUCUGCCUUCUGGCGGUGCCGCCCCCGAAAUACAUUGGCGGUCUCGCUGCAGCCUCCAUUGCGUAGUAGCUAACACCUCGCAACUGGAACGCGGCGCGGCCAUGCCGUAAAACCCCAACUUCUGAAUGUUGACCUCGGAUCAGGUAGGAAUACCCGCUGAACUUAAGCAUAUCAAUAAGCGGAGGA